RNAcentral lists this ribosomal RNA (497 nucleotides) under uncultured bacterium. Its description in RNAcentral is "partial 16S ribosomal RNA". It matches the Rfam family "Bacterial small subunit ribosomal RNA", at positions 28 to 507 of the family's 1533-position model. The record is from RNAcentral.
GAUGAACGCUGGCGGCGUGCCUAAUACAUGCAAGUCGAGCGAACGGACGAGAAGCUUGCUUCUCUGAUGUUAGCGGCGGACGGGUGAGUAACACGUGGAUAACCUACCUAUAAGACUGGGAUAACUUCGGGAAACCGGAUCUAAUACCGGAUAAUAUUUUGAACCGCAUGGUUCAAAAGUGAAAGACGGUCUUGCUGUCACUUAUAGAUGGAUCCGCGCUGCAUUAGCUAGUUGGUAAGGUAACGGCUUACCAAGGCAACGAUGAAUAGCCGACCUGAGAGGGUGAUCGGCCACACUGGAACUGAGACACGGUCCAGACUCCUACGGGAGGCAGCAGUAGGGAAUCUUCCGCAAUGGGCGAAAGCCUGACGGAGCAACGCCGCGUGAGUGAUGAAGGUCUUCGGAUCGUAAAACUCUGUUAUUAGGGAAGAACAUAUGUGUAAGUAACUGUGCACAUCUUGACGGUACCUAAUCAGAAAGCCACGGCUAACUACGUG